This 1362-nucleotide long non-coding RNA is filed under the name Taeniopygia guttata (zebra finch). RNAcentral's name for it is "lncRNA (ENSTGUG00000020306.1)". The record is from RNAcentral. Lineage: Eukaryota; Metazoa; Chordata; Aves; Passeriformes; Estrildidae.
AGGACAUCUCAGCAGAAACCAUCUGGUUCUGGUGCAAGGAAGCUUUGUCCUCCCCUGCUUAUCACUGGGACUUCUGCAGUCCCUUCAGUGUGUGUUUUCAUGUAGUUUUCUCAUGUUAUUUUUGCUUCUUCCAUUUCAGUCAGUCAUGCAGUGGCACCAGAGAACUCUGCAUUUUCCUCUCUGGGCAUGGGAAAGUCCUGUUCCUUUGACUGCUUUAUGUGAAGAGCUGGCACACUCCAGUUGUUCCUGUGGUAUUUGGGAACUCAUUCUUCUCCCAGGAAAGAGAGCAGCACUUAAGCCAUUCAGACUCUCCAGCAUUAAUGGAAGUUGGUGAAGAAGGUGCUUUAGUUUUCCAGACUUCAUUGUGGUACUGAGUGAUGGCAACAAGUUCCAUUUGGUCUUGGGCUGAAUCAAAGCUCUCCACUGGAUCAGAGGCCAGAAGCCCACAAGGACAGAGGACCCCUACAGGAUUCUCCUCAGAAACAAAGCACAGCACUGCCCAGAAGCCCUCCAUGCAUUUGUGCAUCCCAUAUCCUGACAGAGCUAACUGGAAAUGUGCCAAGUGUCUCCUCUGCACCCUGGCCAGGGGAUCCCACAGCCAGUGCUGUGUGUGCUGUUCCUGCUCGUGUGCAACAGCGGGGCAGGCGCUGGGAUUCCAGCCUUGUAAAAUAAUCCAUGGAUUUCAACUGUUGCACUGUGCCAAGUUUUCAUUGGCAGCAGCCUUGGAUUUGAGCUGCCAGAACCAGAAACGCCUCUGAAGGCAAAGGACACCAGAACUCCCCCUUGGAGCCGGGAGCAGCGUCCUGCCUGUAAGCGCCCUGCCGCUGUGGGCAGUGACGGCUGCGUUACUCAGCAUCCGGCCUGGUUUCGCACCCACUGUCUGCAUCUGACUUGGAAGUGGACAUUUCCCAGUCAGGCACAGCGGCUGAGCAUCCAUCUCACCUGAUGACAUGUUUUUCCUUUAGCCAACAGUGCUGUGCAUCCAGCACAGGCUCAUUACUGUACCCAUGCAGUAGCUUUUCACUUCAGCCAGUGUGCAAAGGAAAACAAAGCCCCAGUGCAUUUCUCUCUCCAGGGAGAGCUGGAUCCUUACAGAAGCGCAGAAAUGAAAUUUGUAACGCAGCUCCAAGAUGUCCAAAGAAGAGGCGGCCACGGCACAGGCUCUCCUUCACUCAGCACUUCCCUUCCGAGUCCCUGAGUGAAAACCACCACGCUCACAGUGACCCACAUCUCACUGGUCCCUCAGUCCUGGCAUCAUCUCAGGGUAAGGAACACCUUCCACACGGACAAGCAGCUCCUCCUUGCGCUGGCUCCUGGAAAGACUGGAUGAGAAUGCAAGCUUGGAGGCAUGGCUGUAAUUAA